CUACUGGCGCUUCCAAAGGCGAAGCUCUCGUCUUUGGCGACCAGCAAACGGAGGGCUAAAACCUGUAGUUUUGAAGAAAGGGAUGAGAGCGAAAGCCGUUGCGCUUCCAUACACGCGCAUACGUUUUCUUGCUAGGGCGGACACGGAUUUCUCUCUAAAGGCGAAGAAAAAGAAGUGGGCGAACACUCGGCCCAGCGGGCGAACAUGCCGGCUCCGGCUCCGCGCACCUGCUGACACCUUUCGAAGCACUUUCACGUGUGAACCGAAGUCGUCUUGCCAAACUCCUUCCUUUCUCAUUUCAGUCCUCGCCUUUUUCAUCUUACGUAGGGGCAU
Molecule: ribosomal RNA, 333 nt
Filed under: Triticum aestivum (bread wheat)
Lineage: Eukaryota; Viridiplantae; Streptophyta; Magnoliopsida; Poales; Poaceae
Description: partial small subunit ribosomal RNA
Source: RNAcentral